UACUGUGAAACUGCGAAUGGCUCAUUAAAUCAGUUGUCGUUUAUUUGAUAGUACCUUACUACUUGGAUAACCGUGGUAAUUCUAGAGCUAAUACUUGCUAUACACCCCGACUUUUGGAGGGGUGUAUUUAUUAGAUAAAAAACCAAUGCCCUUCGGGGCUCCUUGGUGAUUCAUAAUAACUUAACGAAUCGCAUAGCCUUGUGCUGGCGAUGGUUCAUUCAAAUUUCUGCCCUAUCAACUUUCGAUGGUUAGGUCUUGGCUAACCAUGGUUUCAACGGGUAACGGGGAAUUAGGGUUCUAUUCCGGAGAGUGAGCCUGAGAAACGGCUAACACAUCCAAGGAAGGCAGCAGGCGCGCAAAUUACCCAAUCCCGACACGGGGAGGUAGUGACAAUAAAUACUGAUCCAGGGCUCUUUUGGGUCUUGGAAUUGGAAUGAGUACAAUUUAAAUCCCUUAACGAGGAACAAUUGGAGGGCAAGUCUGGUGCCAGCAGCCGCGGUAAUUCCAGCUCCAAUAGCGUAUAUUAAAGUUGUUGCAGUUAAAAAGCUCGUAGUUGAACCUUGGGCCUGGCUGGUUGGUCCGCCUCACCGCGUGUACUGAUCCGGCCGGGCCUUUCCUUCUGGGGAAUCGCAUGCUCUUCAUUGGGUGUGUCGAGGAUCCAGGACUUUUACUUUGAAAAAAUUAGAGUGUUCAAAGCAGGCCUAUGCUCGAAUACAUUAGCAUGGAAUAAUAGAAUAGGACGUGUGGUUCUAUUUUGUUGGUUUCUAGGACCGCCGUAAUGAUUAAUAGGGAUAGUCGGGGGCAUCAGUAUUCAAUUGUCAGAGGUGAAAUUCUUGGAUUUAUUGAAGACUAACUACUGCGAAAGCAUUUGCCAAGGAUGUUUUCAUUAAUCAGUGAACGAAAGUUAGGGGAUCGAAGACGAUCAGAUACCGUCGUAGUCUUAACCAUAAACUAUGCCGACUAGGGAUCGGGCGAUGUUACUUUUUUGACUCGCUCGGCACCUUACGAGAAAUCAAAGUCUUUGGG
Molecule: ribosomal RNA, 1026 nt
Filed under: Helotiales sp. WMM-2012c
Lineage: Eukaryota; Fungi; Ascomycota; Leotiomycetes; Helotiales
Description: SSU rRNA
Rfam family: Eukaryotic small subunit ribosomal RNA
Source: RNAcentral